This 503-nucleotide ribosomal RNA is filed under the name uncultured bacterium. RNAcentral's name for it is "partial 16S ribosomal RNA". It matches the Rfam family "Bacterial small subunit ribosomal RNA", at positions 28 to 523 of the family's 1533-position model. The record is from RNAcentral.
GAUGAACGCUGGCGGCGUGCCUAAUACAUGCAAGUCGAACGAAGAUCUAGCUUGCUAGAUCUUAGUGGCGAACGGGUGAGUAAUACAUAAAUAAUCUGCCCAUAUGACUGGGAUAACUAUUGGAAACGAUAGCUAAUACCGGAUAGGUUGAUUGGAGGCAUCUCUGAUUAAUUAAAGUAGGAGUUCAACACAAAUGGAUGAGUUUAUGGCGCAUUAGUUAGUUGGUGGGGUAACGGCCUACCAAGACGAUGAUGCGUAGCCGACCUGAGAGGGUGACCGGCCACACUGGGACUGAGACACGGCCCAGACUCCUACGGGAGGCAGCAGUAGGGAAUUUUCGGCAAUGGGCGCAAGCCUGACCGAGCAACGCCGCGUGAGUGAUUAAGGCCUUCGGGUUGUAAAGCUCUGUUGUAAGGGAAGAACAUUCAGGAUAGGAAAUGAUCCUGAACUGACGGUACCUUACCAGAAAGCCACGGCUAACUACGUGCCAGCCGCCGCAGUAA